This 1141-nucleotide ribosomal RNA is filed under the name uncultured soil eukaryote. Its description in RNAcentral is "SSU rRNA". It matches the Rfam family "Eukaryotic small subunit ribosomal RNA", at positions 13 to 1189 of the family's 1831-position model. The record is from RNAcentral.
CCUGCCGGCAAUCAUAUGCUAGUUUUAAAGAUUAAGCCAUGCAUGUUUAAAUUUAAGAUUUUAUCUGAAAUUGCGGACGGCUCAUUAAAUCGGAGAAAAGAUAACCAAAAGAGGUAACCAAAUAUGGAUAUCUCGGGUAAUUCUAGAGUUAAUACAUGUCCUCUUCGGGGGAUGCUGGGGGGUGAAAAAACUGGUCUCGGGAGCAAUCCUGUGGCAAUGAAGUGAACUAACCCCCUAGCGUACCGGUCUCUGACCGGGUUUUUGGUUUCUUUUCUGAUCUAUCACUUUUUUAUCGAUGUAGUGUAUCGAUAAGAGGAUAACGGGUGACGGGGAACAAGGGUUUGGUUCCGGAGAGGGUGCCUGAGAGAUGGCAACCACUUCCAAGGAAGGCAGCAGGCGCGCAAAUUACCCAAUCUCAACGAGAGGAGGUAGUGACAAAACAUAACGAUGGGGUCCUUAUUAGGAUCCUAAUUGGAAUGAGUACAAUUUAAAGCGUUUAGCGAGUAACGAUUAGAGGGAAAGUCUGGUGCCAGCAGCCGCGGUAAUUCCAGCUCUAAUAGCGUAUAUUAAAGUUGUUGCAGUUAAAAAGCUCGUAGCCAGAGUAAUCUGGAUGCCUUCUUAGAGGAAAUUUUCUGAUUUGAGGGUGUCUGGAUGAAUCGUGAUACCCGCCGUGCACUUAAUUGGGUAUGGUAUGGGGACUCACUUAAUUUUACCUUGAAAAAAUACAGCCGUUCCAAAGAGGCAUUUAUGCCAAUAGACCAAAGCAAGGUAUAAUAGAAUAUGGUGCCUACUCUUUUUGACCGGGGGGGUAGGUGCAAUGAUUAAUAGGGGUAAUCGGGGGUGUUCAUAUAAGAGGGGGAGAGGUGAAAUUCUUGGAUCCUUCUUAGAUGUCCUAGUGCGAAGGCAUUCACCAAGGGUGCCUUCAUUAGUCAAGAACGAAAGUUAGGGGAUCGAAGACGAUCAGAUACCGUCGUAGUCCUAUCUAUAAACGAUGCCGACCAGGGAUUAGGGGACGUUUAAUUAUGACUCCCUCAGCACCUAGUAAGAAAUUAGAGUCUUUGGGUUCCGGGGGGAGUAUGGUCGCAAGGCUGAAACUUAAAGGAAUUGACGGAAGGGCACCACCAGGAGUGGAGCCUGCGGC